Molecule: ribosomal RNA, 195 nt
Filed under: uncultured bacterium
Lineage: Bacteria
Description: partial 16S ribosomal RNA
Rfam family: Bacterial small subunit ribosomal RNA
Source: RNAcentral
ACGCUCGACACCUACGGCAGCAGUGGGGAAUAUUGCACAAUGGGGGAAACCCUGAUGCAGCGACGCCGCGUGAGCGAAGAAGUAUUUCGGUAUGUAAAGCUCUAUCAGCAGGGAAGAAAAUGACGGUACCUGACUAAGAAGCACCGGCUAAAUACGUGCCAGCAGCUGCGGUAAUCUGGAGCGGGCUGGCAAGGC